GUCAGGAGUUAUAGGAGGGAGUUGUGCUGUUGGAGGAAUGAAGCAGUACAAAUCCAUAUCAGGUGUAAGGAAGGAGGCCCUGAGGAACAGACACCCCAGUGGAAUGAUGGUUCAAUGUGAUGAACAGUGUUGGGAGUGAAGAGAAAGGUCACCAUCAAAAAGAGCGUAGACACCAUUAAAGGUGUUCUUUUCCUCAAAGUAAAUAUUAACAGCUGUUCAGUGGUUCAUUCAGAACACUAAAGUUACUGUAAAAACGUCUUCCAUUCUGAAAAGCAUGCACGUCGUUGAGUCAGAAGCUGGCAGUAGUUUUACCAGCAUAUUUUAUAAAAAAGGGUAGUUUUUCUCUUGUAUGAACAUUUUGCAACCCUUAAAAAGCUCUACAAAA
This is a long non-coding RNA of Mauremys reevesii (Reeves's turtle), 385 nucleotides long. RefSeq lists it as uncharacterized. The transcript is spliced from 2 exons. The record is from RefSeq and is a predicted model, not a curated record. NCBI's taxonomy places the organism in Eukaryota, Metazoa, Chordata, Testudines, Geoemydidae.